RNAcentral lists this ribosomal RNA (541 nucleotides) under Apiotrichum coprophilum. Its description in RNAcentral is "LSU rRNA". It matches the Rfam family "Eukaryotic large subunit ribosomal RNA", at positions 90 to 621 of the family's 3401-position model. Lineage: Eukaryota; Fungi; Basidiomycota; Tremellomycetes; Trichosporonales; Trichosporonaceae. The record is from RNAcentral.
CGAGUGAACCGGGAAGAGCUCAAAUUUGAAAUCUGGCAGUCUUCGAUUGUCCGAGUUGUAAUCUAUAGAAGCGUUUUCCGUGCUGAACUGUGUAUAAGUCCCUUGGAACAGGGUAUCAAAGAGGGUGACAAUCCCGUACUUUACACAAUCAUCAGUGCUCUGUGAUACGUUCUCUACGAGUCGAGUUGUUUGGGAAUGCAGCUCAAAAUGGGUGGUAAAUUCCAUCUAAAGCUAAAUAUUGGCGAGAGACCGAUAGCGAACAAGUACCGUGAGGGAAAGAUGAAAAGCACUUUGGAAAGAGAGUUAAACAGUACGUGAAAUUGUUGAAAGGGAAACGAUUGAAGUCAGUCGUGUUCAUUGGACUCAGCCGGUUUUCGGUGUAUUUCCUUUGAACGGGUCAACAUCAGUUUUGUCCGGUGGAUAAAGGUAGUAGGAAGGUGGCUCCCCCGGGAGUGUUAUAGCCUAUUGCCACAUACACUGGAGGAGACUGAGGACUGCAGCUUGCCUUUAUGGCCGGGGUUCGCCCACGUUCAAGCUUAGG